RNAcentral lists this long non-coding RNA (503 nucleotides) under Rattus norvegicus (Norway rat). RNAcentral describes it as "long non-coding RNA NONRATT023955". Lineage: Eukaryota; Metazoa; Chordata; Mammalia; Rodentia; Muridae. The record is from RNAcentral.
AUCGCCGCCGGAGACGACAUCCUCACCACCUCAUGGACAAUGGGUAGAGACAAGGCCUUAGUCCAUUUAUCAUAACUGUCCAGGGCUGGGGCCACCAAGCCCCCUAUCCAAACAGACCACAGUUUAAAUCUACAGCUCCCCCUGGACCUGAUUGCCUUCUUCUGACGCUGUGAUAAUUUUCUGUCAUAGCUAUAGCAGAUUGAGGCCCCUGUAUCUGUCCUUUUCAGGACUAGUCGGUGGGGCUGUCACAGUGCUAUUGCCCCCCAUAGUCCACUGGACUCCACACAGAGGGACCUCAAGCUGUAGUCACCUGUCACCUGCAUAUUCUAUAGCCCCUGAGCUAUCAACAUUGGUAUGGGACCAGGGAAGAUCUAAAACCUUGGUCCUCAGUCUGCUCUCUGAAAUUCUCAGGUCAUGGGACCCAAGGGGAAUAAAAAUGGUUCUAACUACUGUGCCCAAACCCAGGGUGGAAAAUAGGUAUAUGGGUUUCAGGGACAGGGGUA